UAGUACGAGCGAGUGAGCGGGAAGAGCUCAAAUUUGAAAUCUUCAAGGUUUUACCUUGACGAAUUGUAGUUUAAAGAAGUGUUUUCUGUUGAAGUUUUGGUAAAAGUUCUUUGGAAUAGGACAUCAUAGAGGGUGAGAAUCCCGUAUUUGACCAUUAUUUUCAGCUGUGUGAUACACUUUCAAAGAGUCGGAUUGUUUGGGAAUGCAGUCCAAAAUGGGUGGUAAAUUUCAUCUAAAGCUAAAUAUUGGCGAGAGACCGAUAGCGAACAAGUACCGUGAGGGAAAGAUGAAAAGAACUUUGAAAAGAGAGUUAAACAGUACGUGAAAUUGUCAAAAGGGAAGCGUUUGACACCAGUGUUGUUUUCUCGAAAAUCAAUUAAAAAAAGUUAGAUUUUGUUGUGUAUUGACCUUAACAGCUUGCAUUUCAAUUUUCUUGCUUUUUUUAAUGCACUUUUCGUUUAACAAGUCAACAUCAGUUUCUUUUGUUGUAAAAAGGUCAUUGGAAGGUGGCUUUCUUUUCGGAGAAAGUGUUUAUAGCCUUUGACUCCUGCAAUCGGAGAGACUGAGGUCUGCAGCGUAGAUCCUUCGGGGUUAGAUACAUUUGUGCUAAGUUAUAGCUUUUUAUAGACAACUUGUUGACUAUGAUUAGUCUUGUAGCUUACUCGCUUAUGCUAUUUUACCUACGCUUAGGAUGUUGACAAAAUGGUUUUAAACGACCCGUCUG
This 724-nucleotide ribosomal RNA is filed under the name Piromyces sp. Its description in RNAcentral is "partial large subunit ribosomal RNA". It matches the Rfam family "Eukaryotic large subunit ribosomal RNA", at positions 81 to 655 of the family's 3401-position model. The record is from RNAcentral. Lineage: Eukaryota; Fungi; Neocallimastigomycota; Neocallimastigomycetes; Neocallimastigales; Neocallimastigaceae.